This 2661-nucleotide long non-coding RNA is filed under the name Homo sapiens (human). Its description in RNAcentral is "SNRPA1 divergent transcript (SNRPA1-DT)". The record is from RNAcentral. Lineage: Eukaryota; Metazoa; Chordata; Mammalia; Primates; Hominidae.
GUUCUUGCCGGAAGUCGUGGCGCGCGCACAGGGGAUGUGUCUCGUUCUGGGUUGUUUCCUAGGGUGUGUUUCGGAGUCUGGAGGACCCCUGAUUCCAGACGUUGGUGUUUAAAAGUUAAGGCGAAUGUGGAAACACCCGAGGGGAACUUUCUCAUGCAUUAGCGCACCUCGAGGUGGGAGGGGAAGCGGUGACUGUCCUCCCUCCACCAGCCGUCGCGGGAACCCGUGGGGUUCAGUGAAGGGUCCAGCAGUUCAGGUGCCCGCCCCGGGCCUGGGCCUUGGCUCCGGGCUACAGUGUGAGAUCCCGGGCUAGGUGGCCCGCCUGGGGCAGGUCGCCGGGACAACCCCACCGCCCCGCAAGUCCAGCCCGGCCUCGGGCACGCCAAAGGAUUCCUAGCAAGUACAAGCUUCUGACUUCACAGAGAGGCCAUGGUAAACAUCCCAAGGAGUGCAUCAGCCAUGGGUUCAGGGAUUUCAGCCACUGCAUAGAAGACAAGCUGUAACCUAAUUCAAUCACACUUGGCAGCAACCGGUGAAGAGGCAGUCUGGGCUCUGGGGAGCUCCCCCGUGACAGAUGGAAGGGGCCCCUACAUCUGGAGAGGCUCUAGAACCUCCUCCCAGUGAGGCUAACGUGGUCUGAAGGGGUCUCUUUGCCCAGUGACAUUCUGGGGUUGGGAUCUGGGAUUUCCUCCAUUGCUUCCUUACAUCAACAUUUGCUAAAGCUCAAAAGAAGACCUUCCACGUAAUGACAUCAAACAGAUCUGAAACCACAGUUAAAGUAACGUCCACUUAACACUUGGUCAGCACUCAUGUUUCAUUUUGUGUGCCGUGGAAAGAAAUACAGGCUCCUGUGCCAUGGGAUGUUAACUCUUUUAUUAAUUUAGGGUUAACAUUGUACUUGCUUCAUUGAUUUCUCUUUCAGAGUUGUAGAUUCAAUAAACAACAUCUGGGUUCUCUCCAGCUCACAGGUGACAAGGCAAAUGCACUGUCGUCAAACAGGGGAGCAGGACAAUAUGGAGAAAGACGAGGUCGAAAAAAUUUAAGGCAAAUGUUACUUCCCUAUUCAAGGGAAUUGAUCAAGCAGAUCUGUGCAUUUCAAUGAAAAUAUAUGAAAUAUUUGUCAAAAUAAUUAACAUCGGUAAAAAUUAGAACAUGUAGCUUAUAAAAUGCCUACACAGGUUUGGCAGAAUAAAUCCAACUGUGUCAUGUAGGCUUGUAAUAUACACAGACACAGGAGUUUCCACCUUAAAAACGAGUCUUCUGAAGGGCAGAGGCCAAAUGUAUUUUAAAAGCAAUUCCAUAAAAUGGGAAGUGAUGGAUGAUUAACAAUGCAUGGCUGGCUUUACAUUUUGUUCAGAGGAAUUGCUUGGCCAUCGGGGUACCUUUUGGCUGGCCACAGAAUGCCUCCUGUUGCCUCUCCUCAGAAGGCUCUGCAUCAGGUCGAGGUGGUCGUUCAGGCCAUGAGACUCCUGAAGACACAGACAGAACACGGUAACAAGGAGAGCUCGGCUUGCUCAAAGGAGAGCGCUGCGGGGGAUAGAAUCUUCUGGUCUGGCUUUGGAAUUGGACUUUCUAAGCCACUGCUGCAGUUUCAGAAGUAGCUGACUAUGUAGAAAUAGAUACUCCGGCCCCAGUGGUCAUACAUUUUAUGCCCUCAAACCUAUCUUAUUUAUAGUCUGACCAAACCGUCCCCAGACUGCUCAGUGGCAGGCAACGAGCAGGUAGACUGCUGGCCCUUUGUCACAUGUGAGGAUGGCCCAGGGUUCGCCAGCUGGGCCGGGGAGAUUUACUACACAGCCGCAGAAAAGCACGGGGAGAAGAGUGAUGUGUGAUGCCAAGCGCCUUUCUUUUCUGCUUUGGUCUUGAAGAUUCAGUAAACUUAUGGUCCCAGAAGCUGCUCCAAAGCCAGAGCUGUGGAUUCCCAGAAUUCAUUUUGUUCCUGUUAGUUUGUCGGAAGACUGGAGCCAACAAGCAGCAUUUGAGAGGAUAUCACCAUUUUAGGAACACCUCCUUAAGAGCCACCACCCACCUGGCUUGGGUGCUCAGAGAUGCUGCUCCUGGGGAGAUAAAGCUGUCAGGUGCAGGGCGCCGCUCCUGAAACAGACUCUGGCCGACAGUCUGGAGGAAGGUGGACGGAUGGAUGGAUGGGAGUGCCUGCCCUCUGUGGGCAGCUAGGCACCCUUACCCGGCCAGGAGGCACGUGCGGCAGCAGAACUGAAUGAAGAGCUUCCGUUCGCACAGCCGGUUGGACUUCACCAUCUCGCAGAAUGUCUCGUCAGCUGGGGCCCCGCAUCAGGAAAGGCAAAAGAGGGAAAGGUCAGUCUUCGGUGCCUGUGAAGAUUGUUUCAAGGCCGGGCGCGGUGCCUCAUGCCUGUAAUCCCAGCACUUUGGGAGGCCGAGGUGGGUGGAUCACCUGAGGUCAGGAGCUUGAGACCAGUCUAACCAACAUGGUGAAACCCCGUCUCUACUAAUAAUAUAAAAAUUAGCUGGGCAUGGUGGUGGGCACCUGUAAUCCAAGCUACUCGGGAGGCUAAAGCAGGAGAACCACCUGAACCCAGGAGGCAGAGGUUGCAGUGAGCUGAGAUCAUGCCACUGCACUCCAGCCUGGGCAAGAAGAACAAAACUCCGUCUCAAAAAUAAAUAAAUAAAUACAUAAAUAAA